Molecule: ribosomal RNA, 253 nt
Filed under: uncultured bacterium
Lineage: Bacteria
Description: partial 16S ribosomal RNA
Rfam family: Bacterial small subunit ribosomal RNA
Source: RNAcentral
UACGAAGGGGGCUAGCGUUGCUCGGAAUUACUGGGCGUAAAGGGCGCGUAGGCGGACAGUUUAGUCAGAGGUGAAAUCCCCAGGCUCAACUUGGGAACUGCAUCCGAUACUGGAUGGCUUGAAUUCGGGAGAGGGAUGCAGAAUUCCAGGUGUAGCGGUGAAAUGCGUAGAUAUCUGGAGGAAUACCGGUGGCGAAGGCGGCAUCCUGGACCGACAUUGACGCUGAGGAGCGAAAGCUAGGGGAGCAAACGGG